GACGAACGCUGGCGGCGUGCUUAACACAUGCAAGUCGAACGGAAAGGCCCUGCUUUUGUGGGGUGCUCGAGUGGCGAACGGGUGAGUAACACGUGAGUAACCUGCCCUUGACUUUGGGAUAACUUCAGGAAACUGGGGCUAAUACCGGAUAGGAGCUCCUGCUGCAUGGUGGGGGUUGGAGAGUUUCGGCGGUUGGGGGUGGACUCGCGGCUUAUCAGCUUGUUGGUGGGGUAGUGGCUUACCAAGGCUUUGACGGGUAGCCGGCCUGAGAGGGUGACCGGCCACAUUGGGACUGAGAUACGGCCCAGACUCCUACGGGAGGCAGCAGUGGGGAAUAUUGCACAAUGGGCGGAAGCCUGAUGCAGCAACGCCGCGUGCGGGAUGACGGCCUUCGGGUUGUAAACCGCUUUCGCCUGUGACGAAGCGUGAGUGACGGUAAUGGGUAAAGAAGCACCGGCUAACUACGUG
This 468-nucleotide ribosomal RNA is filed under the name uncultured bacterium. RNAcentral describes it as "partial 16S ribosomal RNA". It matches the Rfam family "Bacterial small subunit ribosomal RNA", at positions 28 to 507 of the family's 1533-position model. The record is from RNAcentral.